This 460-nucleotide ribosomal RNA is filed under the name uncultured bacterium. Its description in RNAcentral is "partial 16S ribosomal RNA". It matches the Rfam family "Bacterial small subunit ribosomal RNA", at positions 338 to 795 of the family's 1533-position model. The record is from RNAcentral.
CCUACGGGUGGCAGCAGUGAGGAAUAUUGGUCAAUGGCCGGAAGGCUGAACCAGCCAUGCCGCGUGAAGGUCAGUGCCCUAUGGGCGUUAAACUUCUUUUGUGCGGGAGCAAUAAUGGUCACGUGUGGCCAGACGAGAGUACCGUACGAAUAAGCAUCGGCUAACUCCGUGCCAGCAGCCGCGGUAAAACGGGGGAUGCAAUCGUUAUCCGGAUUUAUUGGGGUUAAAGGGUGCGUAGGCUGUGAGGUAAGUCAGCGGUGAAAUGCCCCCGCUCAACGGGGUGAAGUGCCAUUGAUACUGGCUUGCUGGAAUGCGUAUGCGGUGGGAGGAAUGUGUGGUGUAGCGGUGAAAUGCAUAGAUAUCACACAGAACACCGAUUGCGAAGGCAUCUCACGAAUCCGCGAUUGACGUUGAUGCACGAAAGCGUGGGUAUCAAACAGGAUUAGAUACCCUAGUAGUC